Molecule: ribosomal RNA, 618 nt
Filed under: uncultured bacterium
Lineage: Bacteria
Description: bacterial SSU rRNA
Rfam family: Bacterial small subunit ribosomal RNA
Source: RNAcentral
CCUACACAUGCAAGUCGAGCGCACCCUUCGGGGCGAGCGGCGGACGGGUUAGUAACCCGUGGGAAUGUACCCUUCUCUAUGGAAUAGCCUCGGGAAACUGAGAGUAAUACCAUAUACGCCCUUCGGGGGAAAGAUUUAUCGGAGAAGGAUCAGCCCGCGUAAGAUUAGAUAGUUGGUGGGGUAAUGGCCUACCAAGUCUACGAUCUUUAGCUGGUUUUAGAGGAUGAUCAGCAACACUGGGACUGAGACACGGCCCAGACUCCUACGGGAGGCAGCAGUGGGGAAUCUUAGACAAUGGGCGCAAGCCUGAUCUAGCCAUGCCGCGUGUGUGAUGAAGGCCUUAGGGUCGUAAAGCACUUUCGCCAGGGAUGAUAAUGACAGUACCUGGUAAAGAAACCCCGGCUAACUCCGUGCCAGCAGCCGCGGUAAUACGGAGGGGGUUAGCGUUGUUCGGAACUACUGGGCGUAAAGCGCACGUAGGCGGAUCAGAAAGUUGGGGGUGAAAUCCCAGGGCUCAACCCUGGAACUGCCUCCAAAACUCCUGGUCUUGAGUUCGAGAGAGGUGAGUGGAAUUCCGAGUGUAGAGGUGAAAUUCGUAGAUAUUCGGAGGAACACCAG